Gadus morhua (Atlantic cod) is the source of this 703-nucleotide long non-coding RNA. RefSeq lists it as uncharacterized. NCBI's taxonomy places the organism in Eukaryota, Metazoa, Chordata, Actinopteri, Gadiformes, Gadidae. The transcript has 2 exons. The record is from RefSeq and is a predicted model, not a curated record.
CACGUAGCCCUGCCACAGGGCCAGCGUCUGGCCAGUCCCCCGGACGGCCGCCACCACCUCCAGCCUCGCCUCCUCCCACCUGCAGCCACCGGGACCGAGAGAAGGAUCAGCAUGGAAGCGCUGUCGGCCAGCCCACACCACGUCUCCAGUGGCCCUCGGACCCCCGCCAGCCACUCCCCCAGAGAUUGGCUCUCGCUCUGCAGUCUAUCGAAGGGGGGGAGAGGGGGAGAGACUCAGACAUUAAGCACUCAGCCAGCAGAGUGGACCAAGGGGGCAAAACUAUGGAACCUCUUGCCCACUAGUCUAAAACUAGAGACUAACAGCAACACUAUUAACAGAGAACUUAAACAACGGCUCAAAUCAAAUCAACAGUGCUCACACAAAUAAUUUACAACUGGUUUAUUGUUUGAUCAUGCUGCCUUUGUUUUUCUCUACGUAGCCUAUAUAUAUAUAUAUAUUUGACUCAUUAUAUUGCUGCUCUGUACUCUACUGUAUACUGCAUUUUUACUCUUUUUAAUUAUCACUAUCAGUUUUUUAUCAGUAUUUGAUCUUGUUUCUGUCUUGUUUAGUUUCUUUUGUUGUUUUCAAAAAGCCUCCUGUGGACAGGUGUUGUAAACUAGCAUUUAUGCUAAUACACUGUAAACAAUGCAUCUGGUUCGUCCAAUGACAUUGUCAUGUCCAAAUAAAAUCUACUAUAACCUAC